GGAAAUCAAGGAUUGUCAGCCUUUCUUGUCGAUAUGCGGAGCUCGGCCAGAAAUUACGAUUGGGUCAGUAUUGCGAAAUAUUCAGCCUCAACAGAUCGAUGAACCAUGGAAAUCUAUUAUCGGGAUGCCAGAGUCCAAUCAAUUAGUUGAGUUUGACCCAAGAGUUAGAAGUCUGAAAAUGGUUGAUGCUCAAGAUAAUCAAGGUGACUCUUUAAUAUUCGGUUCUUCAUCUGAAGAAGAAUUCAAAAAGUACGAGAAAGUCUCGGAGUUCCUUGUGCCCUGUCCAAGUGAAGAUAAUAAAUGUGCAUUAAAUUU
RNAcentral lists this unclassified non-coding RNA (315 nucleotides) under Hevea brasiliensis (rubber tree). Lineage: Eukaryota; Viridiplantae; Streptophyta; Magnoliopsida; Malpighiales; Euphorbiaceae. The record is from RNAcentral.